Molecule: long non-coding RNA, 7020 nt
Filed under: Citrus x clementina
Lineage: Eukaryota; Viridiplantae; Streptophyta; Magnoliopsida; Sapindales; Rutaceae
Description: Citrus clementina (C. clementina) long non-coding RNA (CCLE_LNC005404)
Source: RNAcentral
UAUAAAUCCAUUGAAAUUUAAAAGUCAAAAUAUGUAUAAAAUCUAACACAUUUAAAUUAUCGCAACAAUAUCAUUAGAACAUCAUAUGAAAUAACUACAAUAUUAUCAAAACAUAGUCUAUGAUCAAUUAUCACAAUAACAUCAUCACAAUAUUAUCAUUUGGAUCAGUACCAGUCUACAAUAAUAUCAUAACACUAUCUUCUAAAUCACUACCAGUUUGAUCAAAAUCUUAGUUUUACAACAAAACAACGUCAUUUUCCAAUAAAAAGGAAUUUGAAAUUCCAUAGAGACUCUAUUAAAUUCACUACCAAUAAGAAAUUCAUAAUACUACCAUAAUAUCAGCAAUAAUUCGAAAUUCAUAAAACUAGAUAUCAUCAACUCUACUGCUCGUACUAUUAGUUCAGACACAAAGAAAGCUUAUUCAAGACUAGGGAUGGCAAUGGGCACCAUCUGUAGCGGGUUUAUUAUUACCAAACCUAUAUCCGCACAAAAUUUUUCAAUCAUCAAACCCAUCCGCAACCCCGUUGCGGGUUUUAAUUUAAAAAAAAAAAACCACCCAUUGCGGGUUUUGACAAUCACCAAAACCGCAAUGGUAUCCAAUAGAUUUUUUGUGGGUUUUUCACAUUUAAAAUCUCAAAAUUCAUUAUUUAAAUUUAUAAUAAUAACCUAAAAUUUCACAUGAUGUACUCAAUUCUAAAUUUAACUAAUAUAAAUGUAAAAUUAAAAUUUCAAUAUCAAUCCAACACAAUUUUCAAUUUUAAGUAUAAAAUAGACAAAUCCAUAAAAACAAGUCACAUACUAGUAUCUAAACAUAACAAUUAUCAUUUCAUAUUAUCAUUCAAUAUAACCUCCAAGAGGUCUUCAUUUCAUUCACCACUACUAGCACCCAUCCAACACAGUUCCUACAAUAAUGAUUAAAAUUAAAAUUUUCUAAAGAAUAAUACUUUUUAGAUACUAAUCCGAAAAAAAAUUAUAACAAUGAAAUAAUCCAUGUAUUAAAUUAAACAUAACAAUUAUCAUUUCAUAUUAUCAUUCAACAUAACCUCCAAGAGGUCUUCAUUUCAUUCACCACUAUUAGCACCCAUCCAACACAGUUCCUACAAUAAUGAUUAAAAUUAAUAUUUUGUAAAGAAUAAUACUUUUUAGAUACUAAUCCCAAAAAAAAAUUAUAACAAUGAAAUAAUUCAUGUAUUAAGUUAAAGAAAAUUCAAUCAAAAUUAUAAUAAGUAUAUAAGUAUAUUUUAGAUUUAAAUAUUUUUCAAUUAAAAUUAAAUUAAAAAAUAAUUAAAAAAGUUGUGGGUUGGCGAAUACCUGUCAGAUAUUUGACUAAUACUAAACCCAUCUGCAACCUAGUGUGGGUUUCAAUUUAUAAUUCCAAACCUGCUCACAACCCACAAAAUUACCUGCGACGAAUGGGUUUUGACAGACUGGUUUGGGCGAGUUUGUGGGUUUAUGGGUACCAUUACCAUCCCUGCUCGAGACGAACUUCAUCAAGCUCACUUUUAGAGUAAUCACAUUUCCCUUUAAAUUGUCAAAUGAUAAUCACAUGUUAAACUAAAGUAAACUAUAUAUAAUUAAAGCACUAAGCGAAGUAAUCCUAAAAUGUAUCUGACAAAAUGUGUACUUACAUCAUGGAGAAAUAAACUCGGGUCUGCAAUUAUAUUUUUGAUAAACCUCAGCACAUGGUAUCCACAUGUAGUACAUCCCAGUUGAUUUGGAGAGUAUAUCAUCAAUAGAAUAAUCAUUACUAUAUAUGCAUAAGAAUUCUUUUAAGUGAUUAAGUAUUAACAAGUCGUGAUUGUUUACCAAAACUUUUGUGAUCUACGAUUUCACCCCCUUUUUUAACUUGUUGUCGCAACAUGCAUUGAAAUCCCAUUGUAUUACAAUACAUGCAAUUAGUAAAUAAACAUGGUAUAUAAAAUGAUAUUAGAAAUACAAUAUCAACAUACUUGAUAACUUUGUUCCUAAGGUCACUAUCAUCAUCUAAAUUACUGUUCGUAGAAUCCAAAUAAAAUGUUUGCUUUGUCAUUGUAUCAAUUACAAUCAACACUCAAUGGAAUGGAAACUAUUACACAAAAGAAAUUGAAAUUACAAUUCAAUUUUAUUAAAUUAUCAUCAAUAGAAAGUAAGGAGAACUAUACCCAGGGUUAUAUGGCAUGAAAAUUAUUUCCAGUUUGUUUGCUUUGUUCAACCAUUCAGCAAUAAAUUGUGCCCUUUUUACCCUUCUAACAAAAGCAUCCUAAUCAUGCGCUGAUGAUAUAAGUCUUGUGUGUAUGCACCCAAAUGGUCUGGCCACUAUAUGUGCAUGCAACAUCUUGAUGUAAUUAAUAUAAUAAAACAGUAACAAUGUUGCCAACAAAUAAAACCAUAAAAAAAUCACAGAAGGGAAGCAAGAAUUAUUUAAAAGUCAAGAUAACAACAUUUACUAUAAUUUUGUAGACUUACGCGAUAUAUAGAUGCAUAUGAUUUACACCUAGCUAUUCCUUGGAAAUCAAUGAUUGACAAUUAUCGAGACUAAUAUAUGCUUUAGUUGGAUGCUUAUAUACCUCUUCAUCCAACUGAUAAAGUAGAUAACUACCCAUUUUAGGCAAUUUUUUUUUCACAAAGAUUACCAAACAUUACAAGCCUAGGAACCUGGUUCAUAUGCACAACAUGAUAAUUUCUUGUUCUUUGUUUUAGCAAUGGUUCACUAGCAAUAUCUUUCAUAUUUGGUUUUUGCAGUGACUUCUUUUGAGGUGUCUUUUUUUUAUGAUUUCUUCUUUUUUGGAUUGCUUGGUUUCUCUCUUGGAAAAUUAAGAAUAAUUCUUGGUUUCUCUUGAGACUUCUUUGGUGAUUCUUUCUUCUUUCUUGGUGAUUGUCUUUUCUUUAGAUUGCUUAUUUUGUCUCUAGGACAAUCAACACUCACUUUGAGUAUAUGUUUAGUGUUUCAUGCUUCUUCUUUAUGGGUGAUCCAUUCUUUUCAUGCCGAAGAUUAUAAGUAGGUCCUAAUUUAGGCUAAAAUUGUCUAAAAUCAACCAUCUAAGUCAUUUUUAAUAACUUGAAUGCGCCCAACGAUCUGUAUCAUACCUUGUCCUCAUUACGACAAGUAUUUCUUCAUCUUUUUCUUCAAUUGUUUGCUCAUCUGAAUUGCUUUUUAAUCUCCUUUUUAAUAUCACUAAACUCUGCUCUUACUUAUCUAACCUUUCUAUUAUAUUCAGUCUCUCUUGUCGAGUCAGAAAUGAAUUGUUUGGGUGUCAAAGUACAUCUUAUGCGAUAUAAAUAUUCCAACACCCUGCAUAUGUCCAGAGUUGCAAGCCUUCCAAUUAAAUGUGCAGGAAUGUCAGGUAUUGCAUUAGCCUUAAAUUCUCCUCUUUUAGCUUUCUCUUCUAGUGCAUCCUAAAAGUACAAUAAUCAUAAUAAUUAAUGUCAAACUCUUUCUAAUAGAAACCAAUUGAAAGAAGACUUGCAAGUACUUACAAUCUUCUUCACUAGUGAUUCAACAUUAGGGUGAUAUUCGCCCAUUUUCAUAUUUUGAGCACGCUUACAUGCUAUACUCCAGUCAACAUCAGUUUUGGCAAGUCCAAUUUUCGAGCAUUGUAGUCUAAGAAAAUAAUAAUAUUAGAACUGGUCAUGCAAAUAACAAAACUUUUUAAACCAACCAUGAAUUCUAAGCUCUAAAUUAAUUCUAAAGGGUUACCAGUUUAUCAUCAUCAAACCAACCAUCUCUAUACCAAUAGCUACGCAAGAAUGGUCAAGUUAGUAUCAUAUUACUUACAAUUUCAUCAAGCAAUCCAAUAUAUCAUUUUCUACUUAAGAUGAUUCCACUUGUUCUUAACUCUUUUAUUUUGCUAUUGACCUCUAAGCCUCUACAUAAAAUAGUCCCCAAUUAGAUUUAAAAAAUAGCAUAUAAGAGGCUUUAGUCUUUAAUAUUUUAAAGUAUUUACCCAACUCAACAUAAAGUCUACAAUUCAUAAAUUCAUCCCAAACCUUUUGAGGAAUGUGGUUGUGCUGAAAAGAUGGCCUUUUUAGCCUUUUACGAUUGUGCUUGUGUGGUAGGAUUUACUUUCUGGUGAGCAGUUACUUAAAGUUUCUAAAUACACUACCAAGUGCUUGAAAAACUUGCUUGUUACCCUUUGGAUGAAAUAAUAAAAUGUUCCUAAUAAAAAUAAAUAGCACAAUAAUCUAGUGAUGGCAAUGAAAUGAGUUCGGGGUGGGAUCAUGAUCCUCGAACCCGAACCCGAAUCCAAUUUUGAAUCAAUCCUCGAACUCGCCCCAUACCUAAACCUUUUUUAAUUGGGGAUAGUUCGAUAUGUCCCUGAACAUCCCUGAAUUGAGCGGGGAUUAAAAUAGGGGCCUGAUCCUCAUUUAAGUUUUUUCAAAAAAUUAAUAAUUCUUUAAUAUUUGUGUCCCCCCUUUUUUAAAAAAUAAUUAUAAAAAUCUAAAAAUAAAACUAUAAAUAAUCAAAAUUUUAACAACCUCCAAAUAAAUGACAACAUAAUAAUUAUAAGCCUUCAACAAAAUUAUAAAUGAUCAAAUUUUAAAAGACAAAUCAAAAUAAUGGUAUGCUUCAACAUAAACUUGUAAUAGCUUCUCAAUAACAAUCACCAUUGAUGCACAUUCUAAGAUUCUUCAUAAACAUAUAACAAGGUAAACAGAGAAAAUGAAAACAUGUUUUAACAAUUUUAACUUAACAAAUACUUAAUAGAAUAAUAUAAAUUAAAACUAUAUACCUCUACAGCCUUUGCAUCGGUUUCAAUCUCUAGUUCUUUAUCAAGAAUCUUAGCAUAUGCUGGAGAGGUAGAUGCCACAACUAAUUUAUAAAAAUACAAAUGAAAACCAAAACCAAAAUAGUUAUUAGUUAAUUUAAAUAAAUAAAAAUAAAAUAGUUAAAAUGAAAACCAUAUACCUCCACAAAGAGCACGUAUCCAACUUUGACUACAUAUCAAAGCCGUCAAUGUGCUUGGAAGAAGUCUAUUGUGAUAUGAGCUUACAAAUUGACCAUUAGCGCUGAAAGCUGAUUUAAAAGCAACUGUGGUAACUAGAAUUGUCAAAAUAUCUCUCGCAAUUGGAGACAAUAUAGGAUAGUUACUACCAUUCAUCUUCCACUAAAUUAAAACAUUAAAGUGCUGCUUAACAUUAAAUGGUACUAACUUUUCACCUAAAAAGUGUCUAGCUCAUCCUUUACUUUCUCAUUACCAGCAUUAAAACAACUAGUAAACCAUGAAAUCCAUUCAGUUGAACUCCCAUGGGAACCUGAACUUGGCAUAGAAUGAGAACCAUUGGAAGAAAUAUAACUAUACCUAGGAGAACGAGCAGCUGACGCAUAUCUAGCAUUGUACUCUUUCACUAUACUUUGACAAUCACCAUGCAUCAUUUGGACACGAGAUAUAGCAUCAUCCCCCUAAAUCAUGGAAUACUCAACCAACCAAUUUUGAACCUAGGAUCAAAGAUACAUGCUACUAAUAAUAUCCCACCGAUGUCAUAUCAAUAUUUAUCAAACUUUUCAAUUAUUCAUUGUGCUACAAUUCUAAAUUCAUCAUAUUUGGGAGUUGAAACCCACUCAUUUAGGCGCAUUCUAAUAUCACACAAAAGGCACAAAAUAGAUUGGAUGUUGGAUAAAUAGUACCAGAAAACAAUGUUGUAUAAUUAUAAAAACAUUUCAAAUCCUUUUCUAAGCCACUAUGUUCUUCAAUUGACCAAAAAACAUUCCUAUAAUGUAAUGCAGAACAUAUCAUGAGAUAUGUGGACUUUCUUCUAGUUGGACAAUCUUGUACUAGUUUUCUACCAUAAGUAAUGCCUAAUUUACGUGCAUUCUCAUCAAAUGUCAAUUUUCUUUUAGUUGAUCAUGACCAAAAAUAACACUCUCACAUGUGUUUGCAAUCAGAUCACCAAUCACACUUAAACCAUACUUUACAAUUAAAUUUAAAAUGUGGGCACAACAACGAACAUGAAACUUUUGCCCACCCAAGAUGGGCUCAUUUUUAGCGAGUGCCAACAACAUAAAAUCAAUAAUAUGAUCAUGAGAUAUGUGGACUUUCUUCUAGUUGGACAAUCUUGUACUAGUUUUCUACCAUAAGUAAUGCCUAAUUUACGUGCAUUCUCAUCAAAUGUCAAUUUUCUUUUAGUUGAUCAUGACCAAAAAUAACACUCUCACAUGUGUUUGCAAUCAGAUCACCAAUCACACUUAAACCAUACUUUACAAUCAAAUUUAAAAUGUGGGCACAACAACGAACAUGAAACUUUUGCCCACCCAAGAUGGGCUCAUUUUUAGCGAGUGCCAACAACAUAAAAUCAAUAAUAUGAUCAUUAGUAGCAACAUUGUCAAUAGUGAUGGAGGAUAACUUAUGCUCAAUGUCAAGCUCCAACAACGAACCCAUAAGCUUAUUAAAAAGCACUGACCCGUGUGAGAACCAGGCACUUCUAAAAAACUAAAAAAAGAAAUUAAUAGUGGAUUAAUAUAUUAAAAAAAUCAGAUUGGUUAUUAAUAAUUAAAAAAUAUUAAUUAGGUUAUGUUUCUGUAUUAACAAUAAAAAAUUAAUUUUUGAGUAAUUUGACUUUUUUCUUUUUAUUUUACAGCUAUCAAUAAUUUAAAAAGAAAAAAACAAAUCAAAGCUUAAACACAAUUUAUCUAUUUUACUUAAAAAGAGAGAAAUAAAGAAUAGUAACAGCAAGGUAUUAAAAAAUAAAUUAUUUGAGGCAUAAAAAUAUUUUACCUCAAAAGUAUGCUUCGUAAUGCCUAAGUCUGGUCAAUAAAAUGUGCAGUGAAUGCCAUAUAUGUUUUUGUUUGAUUUUUUGUAGCCCACAUAUCCAUUGUAAUGGCGAUUCUACCUUAAGUUUGCUCCAACACACUAAUACACUUGGCCAACAAAUCCAUUAGUUUAUUAAAAAGCACUGCCCGUGUGAGAACCAGGCACUUCUAAAAAACUAAAAAAAGAAAUUAAUAGUGGAUUAAUAUAUUAAAAAAAUCAGAUUGGUUAUUAAUAAUUAAAAAUAUUAAUUAGGUUAUGUUUCUGUAUUAACAAUAAACAAUUAAUUUUUGAG